AGUGAACGCUGGCGGUAGGCCUAACACAUGCAAGUCGAGCGGCAGCACAGUAAGAGCUUGCUCUUACGGGUGGCGAGUGGCGGACGGGUGAGGAAUACAUCGGAAUCUACUUUUUCGUGGGGGAUAACGUAGGGAAACUUACGCUAAUACCGCAUACGACCUACGGGUGAAAGCAGGGGAUCUUCGGACCUUGCGCGAUUGAAUGAGCCGCUGUCGGAUUAGCUAGUUGGCGGGGUAAAGGCCCACCAAGGCGACGAUCCGUAGCUGGUCUGAGAGGAUGAUCAGCCACACUGGAACUGAGACACGGUCCAGACUCCUGCGGGAGGCAGCAGUGGGGAAUAUUGGACAAUGGGCGCAAGCCUGAUCCAGCCAUACCGCGUGGGUGAAGAAGGCCUUCGGGUUGUAAAGCCCUUUUGUUGGGAAAGAAAAGCAGCAGGUUAAUACCCCGCUGUUCUGACGGUACCCAAAGAAUAAGCACCGGCUAACUUCGUG
RNAcentral lists this ribosomal RNA (492 nucleotides) under uncultured bacterium. Its description in RNAcentral is "partial 16S ribosomal RNA". It matches the Rfam family "Bacterial small subunit ribosomal RNA", at positions 29 to 507 of the family's 1533-position model. The record is from RNAcentral.